GUCAAAAAUUGUUCAAUGGAGAUGAGAGAUUAAAUUUUUUACACAUUUUUGAAAUGUUACUGAUGAAAUUCUAAUAGAAAUGCAAAGUAUACUGCAAUGGAAAUCUUGAAUCACCAUGCGUUCUCAAUAAUCGUGAAGAAAAUCCUAUUGGAUAAUGACGAGGUGCGGCAUGUGGGGGGGAAGUAAUUUGACGACAUGGCAACACAUUAUUGGCAAAUGUGAUUGGCUAUGCUCUGUAAGCUCACGUGACGUCGACAGUGUGCUCCGAUUCGUUUAUUUACCAGAAACCUUUCGUGAAAAACGUUCUGGUCACGUGAUGCUUAGUCGCCAUCUUGCCAUUCAACAUUUUGUCAACUAUAGGCCGAGAAGUGAGAGAGUAUCGGGCUUAAGGUGCCUAUUUGGUGCAAAUUAUCUCGCGUUCUUGACAAAUAAUUAAAAGACUCUGAACAUUGACAUUACGGCAGGUGAGAUGAUCAUCGAUUACCUUCGUCUGGGAAUAUGGUUUAAACCGUUCAAAUGACGCGCGAUGGUUAAGGAUAGUUUUCCCGCCGUACGUUAGGGUUAGUAUUGAUGUUGACUUUUUCUUUAUUUUUUCGUGAUAUAUAUUUCAUAUAUUUGUAGUUCUAAGUACAUGUAUGUAUAUAAAAUUCAAUAUUAAAUAGCAUUGAUCCAUUUGAUGCUUUGCACUUUAUUUUUCUCCUGUUUAUAAGUGGGGCAGGAGCUGAUUAAAUAUUCUCCACUUAGGCCUAAUCACAGAUCGACUUUUGUUUCAUCUGCGUUCAGAUUUUAAUACAUUAAUCCGUGUUAUGUAUAAAAUUGGGAUUAGUAAAUCGUCAUAAUUUAAUUCGAGACAAUUUUAUCUUAAGUAUACGUAAAAUCCUUCGUAUAAUAAAUUUUUAAAUCCUCUACAUGUUAAAAACAUAAAUUCUGGAUUGUUGUGAC
This 942-nucleotide long non-coding RNA is filed under the name Androctonus crassicauda. The record is from RNAcentral. Lineage: Eukaryota; Metazoa; Arthropoda; Arachnida; Scorpiones; Buthidae.